AGAACGUUCCCUCCUGUCCUGUCUUCUGCCCCUUCCUCCUCUCAAAGCUGAGUGGGAAGGGGCUUCACACAAAGAUCAGGAAAGCUUGACGUAUGGCUAGUGAACUUUAGGAGGGAGAGGUACUGGGAUGUGGCUCAACCAGAGAAAAUCCCAGGCCCAUAGCUACAUGAAGACUGGUCUCUGUCCUCAAGUUGCUUACAGUUUGCAGGUGCUACACCAAUGGGUAUCAUUUGUAUCUCACAUAGGCCCUUCGUGGCCUUCCUCCUGAGGCUUCCUGACUUCCCACAGCUGCCCUGCUUUGUUCCCCGACACACCAGGACACAGCAGCCGGCAGGAGCCAGAGACCAAUCAGUAUUUGAUAAAGAUAAAUCUGUGCUCAGAACUGGAACAGAUGUUUAGCCAAUUAGGAAAUGAAACCCUCUGUUGAAGUAGUUCUGCUUCCAUCUGAGGACUUUGGAUUGAGCUGUUAAAAGGACUCAUUUCUUCAAAAAUGCUUUGCAGAAUCUAUCAAAGCAAGGAACGUUUCACCCUGCAGGACAACGAGCCAGAGCCUUGCAUACCAGGGGCAGGCAUUAGACCACACCCGCUUUGACUGUUAGACUCAUCUGCAGUGCUUGUGCCACUAGUGAGAUGCGCCUAAUGGGGGAGUUCAUCCCCCACCUCACCCUGGUGAGGAGUAUGGAUCUCCAGGAACCAGAAGAGCUGCAUACAUAUGUGAGUGGAUUCUGAAAGUGCUGAAGUGAGGGGGAUGCAACAUUAAGUUGGAUGAGGGAGGAUUUGUUAAUAUGAAUGCACUCGUCUGUGAUACAGAAUUUAACAACCUGGCAAGACCCCCAGGAGAGGGUUCUAACAUGUUGUUAGGAUGGCUCUGAAAAGCAUGAAGAAACUGAUGGCUCAAAUCAUGUAAGGCAGAAAUACCAGAAUUGCUAUGGCAGAGGGUGGAUCAAAAGUCUCAGAAAAAUGAGCAUGUAAGAAUACUAUGUACUAUUUAAUGUGGAAAGUCCACCAUGUGGUUAUAUUUAGUGAGAGGACACAGAAGAUGCUCUGUUUCUCAAAGCAAUAUGAGAUACAUCAAAAAAAAAAUAAAAAGGGCACCAGCA
Molecule: long non-coding RNA, 1100 nt
Organism: Homo sapiens (human)
Lineage: Eukaryota; Metazoa; Chordata; Mammalia; Primates; Hominidae
Source: Ensembl